GUCUGCUACUUGUUUGUUCUAAUUUUAGCUGUAAAAUUUCUCCACCCUUACAUUUAAUUUCAUUUUGUAUUAUUAAUUACUUAAUUUCUCCGCCCUUAAAUUUCCAGGGAUCAUUAACAUUUGCUUCUUUUCCUAUCUUGGUCUCAUUGUUUUUGGUUGAUCCAGCAAACCGUGUGCCUUCUGUUAUUUAGCCAUGGAAAUGAAGCUCCGAGGUUUUAAAAAUUGCUGCACAUUGGGAUGGAUCAGUUCAUUAUAACACGCCUUGGUAGGUCUCCUUGCCAUUUUCUCACAAGGAGAAUGUAGAAGUAGAAGAGAUAACUCAUUCAGAAUCUUCUUCUUCAUCCUCGCUAAA
This is a long non-coding RNA of Hibiscus syriacus, 352 nucleotides long. RefSeq lists it as uncharacterized. The record is from RefSeq and is a predicted model, not a curated record. NCBI's taxonomy places the organism in Eukaryota, Viridiplantae, Streptophyta, Magnoliopsida, Malvales, Malvaceae. The transcript has 3 exons.